UGGCUCAGUCAGUAGAGCAUGAGACUCUUGAUCUCAGGGUUGUGAGUUCAAGGCCCAC
RNAcentral lists this transfer RNA (58 nucleotides) under Canis lupus familiaris (dog). It matches the Rfam family "tRNA", at positions 8 to 63 of the family's 71-position model. From Rfam's summary of the family: Transfer RNA (tRNA) molecules are approximately 80 nucleotides in length. Their secondary structure includes four short double-helical elements and three loops (D, anti-codon, and T loops). Further hydrogen bonds mediate the characteristic L-shaped molecular structure. tRNAs have two regions of fundamental functional importance: the anti-codon, which is responsible for specific mRNA codon recognition, and the 3' end, to which the tRNAs corresponding amino acid is attached (by aminoacyl-tRNA synthetases). tRNAs cope with the degeneracy of the genetic code in two manners: having more than one tRNA (with a specific anti-codon) for a particular amino acid; and 'wobble' base-pairing, i.e. permitting non-standard base-pairing at the 3rd anti-codon position. Lineage: Eukaryota; Metazoa; Chordata; Mammalia; Carnivora; Canidae. RNAcentral also lists the same sequence under 1 other name. The record is from Rfam by way of RNAcentral.